GAGGGUAUAGCUUAGUGGUAGAGUGUGUGCUUAGCAUGCAGGAGGUCCUGGGUUCAAUCCCCAGUACCUCCA
This 72-nucleotide transfer RNA is filed under the name Camelus bactrianus (Bactrian camel). It matches the Rfam family "tRNA". From Rfam's summary of the family: Transfer RNA (tRNA) molecules are approximately 80 nucleotides in length. Their secondary structure includes four short double-helical elements and three loops (D, anti-codon, and T loops). Further hydrogen bonds mediate the characteristic L-shaped molecular structure. tRNAs have two regions of fundamental functional importance: the anti-codon, which is responsible for specific mRNA codon recognition, and the 3' end, to which the tRNAs corresponding amino acid is attached (by aminoacyl-tRNA synthetases). tRNAs cope with the degeneracy of the genetic code in two manners: having more than one tRNA (with a specific anti-codon) for a particular amino acid; and 'wobble' base-pairing, i.e. permitting non-standard base-pairing at the 3rd anti-codon position. Lineage: Eukaryota; Metazoa; Chordata; Mammalia; Artiodactyla; Camelidae. RNAcentral also lists the same sequence under 2 other names. The record is from Rfam by way of RNAcentral.